RNAcentral lists this long non-coding RNA (1179 nucleotides) under Anas platyrhynchos platyrhynchos (common mallard). Its description in RNAcentral is "lncRNA (ENSAPLG00000024479.1)". The record is from RNAcentral. Lineage: Eukaryota; Metazoa; Chordata; Aves; Anseriformes; Anatidae.
AUGCCCUUCAUAUUCGGGGCCAUCGCACUUGCCCUGGUGUUUGAAGCCGUUGCACUGUUUGGCCAGUGGGCCCUGGUAGUGUCGGGGGUCAUUGAGCUUGUCAUUGUCCUCUGUGGGCUGUAUGGUGCGGUGGCCCUCCUGCUGAAGGGCAUCACACAACGGUACAUCCUUCCAGGCUUUGGGCAUCCCCUCUUCAAUGUCUUGCUACUGGGGUCAGCACAGAAGAGCUCUUCCAAGGCCAUCGGGGAAGAGAAGAAAAAGAACACAAAGUAUGCCGAGCCAAUGGCCCUAGGCAACAUCUGUGAUACUGUCUCUCCUUUUAUAUUUGCUUUUUACUCCUUCGGGUACAUGAAGACCUUCUGUGUUGGAGCAGCAUGGAUUUCCAUCAUCUCCAGCUGCCAGCUGCUGUCCAGUUUCUACAGCUACCUCAGAGGUGAUGUCUACUACACCACCAAGUUUGGUGUCCACAGCCUCUACUGGCUGGUGAUGUCUUGGGAAGAGUUCAUACUCACCGUCCUCCUCGGGCCAGGCACGGCUCAGGAGAGCAGGCUGGGAAUGUUUGGAGGGUGGUUCUUCUUGGCUGUUGCCUGCAUGCUGUUUCUGAUGUCAACCCACAAAGAUACCCUGGAGAUGUUGCAAAAUGCCUCUUUCAUCAUCCUCAUGUGCGCCUCCAUCCAUCAGAUCCCAGUGCCAGGUGCUUACCUGUUCCUCGGGGCUGCCUGCAGCCUCUGCACUGCUCUCUCGUUGUACGCCACUUUUGCCAGCCUUAUCAACUCCAUCGGGGAGAAGGCUCUGAUUCCAAUUGGCUCCCAAGCUAUGUCCAGCUCAGCUCUUCAAAACACACUGAUGGCUGCCAAAAGCUGCUUCACAAGGUCCAAGAACUUGCCAAGCAGCACCAGAGCCGAGGUGCCAGAUGCCUUGUUCUACAUCUGCAAUGGCCUGGCAGCAAUCUCUGCCAUCCAGGCGACUUUCAGUGACCCCAGCAGACAGCAACUCUCCAUACCUUCCGUGCUCAUCCCAGGAGCCAUCAUACAACUGUAUGUCUGCAGGAUCCAGGUGCAAGGAGGCAGAAGGUUUGGUUGCAUUCUCCCAUUCUGCUAUGCUGCCUUUUGGGGAGCAUGGACCUGGCUUCGGUUUGCAGGUAACGCAAGGUCAGGCUUUUGGUUUUUCCAAAACUAA